Molecule: ribosomal RNA, 1635 nt
Filed under: Salmonella enterica subsp. enterica serovar Infantis
Lineage: Bacteria; Pseudomonadati; Pseudomonadota; Gammaproteobacteria; Enterobacterales; Enterobacteriaceae
Description: partial 23S ribosomal RNA
Rfam family: Bacterial large subunit ribosomal RNA
Source: RNAcentral
AAUCCAUAGGUUAAUGAGGCGAACCGGGGGAACUGAAACAUCUAAGUACCCCGAGGAAAAGAAAUCAACCGAGAUUCCCCCAGUAGCGGCGAGCGAACGGGGAGGAGCCCAGAGCCUGAAUCAGCAUGUGUGUUAGUGGAAGCGUCUGGAAAGGCGCGCGAUACAGGGUGACAGCCCCGUACACAAAAGCGCAUGUGCUGUGAGCUCGAUGAGUAGGGCGGGACACGUGGUAUCCUGUCUGAAUAUGGGGGGACCAUCCUCCAAGGCUAAAUACUCCUGACUGACCGAUAGUGAACCAGUACCGUGAGGGAAAGGCGAAAAGAACCCCGGCGAGGGGAGUGAAAAAGAACCUGAAACCGUGUACGUACAAGCAGUGGGAGCACAGGUUUACCUGUGUGACUGCGUACCUUUUGUAUAAUGGGUCAGCGACUUAUAUUCUGUAGCAAGGUUAACCGAAUAGGGGAGCCGGAGGGAAACCGAGUCUUAAUUGGGCGUUAAGUUGCAGGGUAUAGACCCGAAACCCGGUGAUCUAGCCAUGGGCAGGUUGAAGGUUGGGUAACACUAACUGGAGGACCGAACCGACUAAUGUUGAAAAAUUAGCGGAUGACCUGUGGCUGGGGGUGAAAGGCCAAUCAAACCGGGAGAUAGCUGGUUCUCCCCGAAAGCUAUUUAGGUAGCGCCUCGUGAAUUCAUCUCCGGGGGUAGAGCACUGUUUCGGCUAGGGGGCCAUCCCGGCUUACCAACCCGAUGCAAACUGCGAAUACCGGAGAAUGUUAUCACGGGAGACACACGGCGGGUGCUAACGUCCGUCGUGAAGAGGGAAACAACCCAGACCGCCAGCUAAGGUCCCAAAGUCAUGGUUAAGUGGGAAACGAUGUGGGAAGGCCCAGACAGCCAGGAUGUUGGCUUAGAAGCAGCCAUCAUUUAAAGAAAGCGUAAUAGCUCACUGGUCGAGUCGGCCUGCGCGGAAGAUGUAACGGGGCUAAACCAUGCACCGAAGCUGCGGCAGCGAACGUAUCACUUAAAGCGAUUCAGCGGGUUACGAUUGACGGAGCGAAGCGACGUCAAAGCGUAUACAAAGUCGAGUCGGUUUAAGGAUACGUUCGUUGGGUAGGGGAGCGUUCUGUAAGCCUGUGAAGGUGUGUCGUGAGGCAUGCUGGAGGUAUCAGAAGUGCGAAUGCUGACAUAAGUAACGAUAAAGCGGGUGAAAAGCCCGCUCGCCGGAAGACCAAGGGUUCCUGUCCAACGUUAAUCGGGGCAGGGUGAGUCGACCCCUAAGGCGAGGCCGAAAGGCGUAGUCGAUGGGAAACGGGUUAAUAUUCCCGUACUUGGUGUUACUGCGAAGGGGGGACGGAGAAGGCUAUGUUGGCCGGGCGACGGUUGUCCCGGUUUAAGCGUGUAGGUGUGUGUUCCAGGUAAAUCCGGUUCACUUUAACACUGAGGCGUGAUGACGAGGCACUACGGUGCUGAAGCAACAAAUGCCCUGCUUCCAGGAAAAGCCUCUAAGCAUCAGGUAACAUCAAAUCGUACCCCAAACCGACACAGGUGGUCAGGUAGAGAAUACCAAGGCGCUUGAGAGAACUCGGGUGAAGGAACUAGGCAAAAUGGUGCCGUAACUUCGGGAGAAGGCACGCU